AAAUAUACUGAUUUACCAAUCUAUCACAAUGUGUUUUACAAUUUAGCCAACCGUGGUCAAAAUGAGUAAGAUCCUGUGUUUUGCGCUCUUGUUCGUGUAUUGUUCGUGUAGCAAAUCAAAAAAUGACUUGAGGAUACCUAGUGUUGCCGAUCUGAAUAAUUCAGAUGGAUCUGUAGGAAACAUCGAUAUCGGACCAUUUGGUGGUAUAGGAAAUCUCGGCUACAGUGGUCUUGGAUGUAA
Long non-coding RNA from Vanessa tameamea, 240 nucleotides. RefSeq lists it as uncharacterized. The transcript has 3 exons. Lineage: Eukaryota; Metazoa; Arthropoda; Insecta; Lepidoptera; Nymphalidae. The record is from RefSeq and is a predicted model, not a curated record.